AGCAGCAGCCGCGGUAAUACGUAGGGGGCGAGCGUUGUCCGAAGUUACUGGGCGUAAAGCGCGCGUAGGCGGCUUCUUAAGUCUGAGGUGAAAGGUUCAACGCUUAACGUGAACAGUGCCUUGGAUACUGGGGAGCUUGAGUAUGGGAGAGGGCAGUGGAAUGGCUGGUGUAGCGGUGAAAUGCGUAGAUAUCAGUCGGAACACCCAUGGCGAAGGCAGCUGCCUGGCCUAAUACUGACGCUGAGGUGCGAAAGCGUGGGGAGCGAACGGGAUUAGAUACCCCUGUAGUCCCUGUCUCUUAUU
This 303-nucleotide ribosomal RNA is filed under the name uncultured bacterium. Its description in RNAcentral is "partial 16S ribosomal RNA". It matches the Rfam family "Bacterial small subunit ribosomal RNA", at positions 507 to 808 of the family's 1533-position model. The record is from RNAcentral.